This is a long non-coding RNA of Herpailurus yagouaroundi (jaguarundi), 453 nucleotides long. RefSeq lists it as uncharacterized. NCBI's taxonomy places the organism in Eukaryota, Metazoa, Chordata, Mammalia, Carnivora, Felidae. The transcript is spliced from 3 exons. The record is from RefSeq and is a predicted model, not a curated record.
GGUGGGUGGUGGGGCGAGGGAAGGGCUCCCCAGCCUGCAGAGGCGGAGGGUGCAAUGGAGCCUGUCGGCCGGCGCGUCCCUGCAGCGCUGCGGUCUCCACGACGACUGUGGGCCGCGCAAGGCCCCCGUAGUCCGCUCUCCUAAAGCCUCGGUGAGAGCCGAGCAGCCACAGAGUGUGUGUUCACAAAGGGUCACCACACACGGAGCUGCCCCUCCCUGUCUCCCUAAACCCCAUCUUCGAGGCCAGGGGCUUUUCUGCCAGGAUUCUGGGGUGUUUCUCCUUUCCUCCCUCCCAGAUCUUCUAACGAUACACCACACGCUCGUCGACCUGCUGGACUCUGUAAACCCAACACAAGGUCACGGUCCAGUGUUGAGAAGUUGACUUUGCUAGUGAGAGAGACCCCAAUGCUUAUCUCCAAAGAUGGAAGAGGAAGAUUAAAACAAUAAUUUGCA